This 498-nucleotide ribosomal RNA is filed under the name uncultured bacterium. Its description in RNAcentral is "partial 16S ribosomal RNA". It matches the Rfam family "Bacterial small subunit ribosomal RNA", at positions 30 to 523 of the family's 1533-position model. The record is from RNAcentral.
AUUGAACGCUGGCGGCAUGCCUUACACAUGCAAGUCGAACGGUAACAGGUCUUCGGAUGCUGACGAGUGGCGAACGGGUGAGUAAUACAUCGGAACGUGCCUAGUAGUGGGGGAUAACUACUCGAAAGAGUGGCUAAUACCGCAUGAGAUCUACGGAUGAAAGCAGGGGAUCGCAAGACCUUGUGCUACUAGAGCGGCCGAUGGCAGAUUAGGUAGUUGGUGGGAUAAAAGCUUACCAAGCCGACGAUCUGUAGCUGGUCUGAGAGGACGAUCAGACACACGGGGACUGAGACACGGCCCAGACUCCUACGGGAGGAAGCAGUGGGGAAUUUUGGACAAUGGGCGCAAGCCUGAUCCAGCAAUGUCGCGUGCAGGAUGAAGGCCUUCGGGUUGUAAACUGCUUUUGUACGGAACGAAAAGCCCUGGGUUAAUACCCUGGGGUCAUGACGGUACCGUAAGAGUAAGCACCGGCUAACUACGUGCCAGCAGCCGCCGUAA